Molecule: unclassified non-coding RNA, 200 nt
Filed under: Sporidiobolales sp.
Lineage: Eukaryota; Fungi; Basidiomycota; Microbotryomycetes; Sporidiobolales
Description: partial internal transcribed spacer 2
Source: RNAcentral
UUAAGUUCAGCGGGUAGUCCUAUCUGAUUUGAGGUCUAAAGCUUAAGAUGAAUAUGCAUUAGAAGCACCGCUACUUGAAACGUACAGUGCGACGUCCUCAGCGAAAUAGGUUAUUACGCCGAGUCAAGCCGUCGCUGUUCCAGCUGGGUUGCUCGUGUAUUUCAGCUGAGCCGGCUCGUGACGAGCCGACAGACAGCCAU